This 105-nucleotide ribosomal RNA is filed under the name Periophthalmus magnuspinnatus. The record is from RNAcentral. Lineage: Eukaryota; Metazoa; Chordata; Actinopteri; Gobiiformes; Gobiidae.
CACUGUUUCCAAACCAUAGCCAGAUCACAUCUCAGAAGCUAAGCAGAGUUGGGCCUGGGUAGUACUUGGAUGGGAGACUGCAGGGAAUACCAAGUGCCAAAGUGG